RNAcentral lists this RNase P RNA (344 nucleotides) under Rhodoferax antarcticus. RNAcentral's name for it is "RNase P RNA component class A". It matches the Rfam family "Bacterial RNase P class A". From Rfam's summary of the family: Ribonuclease P (RNase P) is a ubiquitous endoribonuclease, found in archaea, bacteria and eukarya as well as chloroplasts and mitochondria. Its best characterised activity is the generation of mature 5'-ends of tRNAs by cleaving the 5'-leader elements of precursor-tRNAs. Cellular RNase Ps are ribonucleoproteins. Lineage: Bacteria; Pseudomonadati; Pseudomonadota; Betaproteobacteria; Burkholderiales; Comamonadaceae. RNAcentral also lists the same sequence under 1 other name. The record is from RNAcentral.
GAAGCCCGCCAGACUGCCGCUGGUGCAAUCUUGGAAACAAGGCACUGGAGGAACGUCCGGACUGCAUAGGGCAGCGUAGCAGCUAACGGCUGUCCACUGAAAGGUCGCAAGACUAUAAGGUGAGGAUCAGAGCAACAGAGACGAGUCGCAGCGGGGCAACCUGAUGCGGGUGAAACGGGCAAUCUCUACGCGCAGCAAUACCAAGUAGGCCAGCGUUGAUGGGGCCCCCAGAGCUGGCGGGUAGGUAGCACCGAGCUGUUGGGUGACCAACAGCCCAGAUUAAUGGCAGUCACGUUUGGGGCAACCCAGACGCACAGAAUCCGGCUUAUCGGUGGGCUUCACAC